Molecule: non-coding RNA, 100 nt
Organism: Cronartium quercuum f. sp. fusiforme G11
Lineage: Eukaryota; Fungi; Basidiomycota; Pucciniomycetes; Pucciniales; Coleosporiaceae
Source: the annotation of a GenBank genome assembly
GCCUCAAUAGCUCAGUGGUAGAGCGUUCCACUCGUAAUAUUUGCAGAUUCACCUUGAUUAGAUCAUGGAAAGGUCGGGUGUUCAAUCCACCCUUGAGGCA